GCUGGUUAGUAAGGAAAGCAUAGCUCUGCUUUUCCUGAUGUGAGAGAAGGUUGGCUGCAGGCCAGAGACUGAGGUACUUUGCCAGUUGGCUGAGUCUCUUGGUGGAAGAGCCAACCAAACUCUGGGAGACUGGCUGGAGUAUGGUUUAUUUGAAGGCCUGACUAGAAGGUUGGAAUCCUGUCAAAAAUUUGAUGGAAAACACUGUUUUGAGUUGUGACUUAUUUUGGACUUUAACACCCCUGAAAGGGUAAGACUGAAGUGUGCCUUGGCCAGAGGGCUGAAACACUGCUAUAUCAGACCCAUGAGAGACUGUGCCCUUCCAGUGCAGACCUGUGGCUGAGUUGACCCAAAAAAACUGGACAGAUAUGAGUACCUGUCCAGAGAGGACUGGCACUUUACCACUUGUGUACCAUGUGCAUACCACUGACAAAUAAUCUUAACUACUUCCUGAGAGCUGUUGGAUGGAGCUGUGUGAAACUCUUCACUUCUGGGGCACAACUCUCCAAGAUCCAAGAAUAGUCCACUGCCGCCUGCCUUACAAGGAAUCGCUAAAGUCAAGUCUGCCUGGGGAGCACUGUGCAUCUGUGGCUCCCCUCUUUAACAGUUAGAACUGAACUUAACAGAAAACGGCUUCUGGUCUCUGCAGAUGGCAGUGUCCUUAGAGGCUCAAAGGUGCAGUACCAGGAAACAGUCAGAACAGUUUCAUAGCUAUAUGUAUAAAUAUGAUCCAGCAGAGCCAUAAUUAAGUAUAUGACUGAUAUGUAAUGCCUGCUACAGGUUUUUUUUCUCAACUCUAUUAAAUAAAACGAUACUGGUGGGAAAUUCAGUGAAGUUAUUCCUGGAGUUCAGCAAGAGGGCUAAUGAGAUCACAAACAAUGUUCCUUUUAGGCCUUUGGCAGUAGGAGUCCCAAAUUCCCACCAUUAGAGCUAACACAUUUUAAAUUGCAUCCUAAGCCCCAGCGCUAAAGAAUGUUCACAUUCUGGAUAGCAGCCAAGAGGUAACUUAAUGUUUGUAAUAAAUACAUGCUAAAAUAUGUCUUUCUACUGCAACUGCCUCAAAGUUUGCACACGGGGGCCCAGUCCCAGAGGCAUAAGCUAACAAAGCUAACCUCUGCUUUUUGGCUAUUUGAAAAUCAUUAACCAUUUUUUUUCCUCCCCACAACCAACAUAUGAUAGGAUCACAGCAAGAGUCCACACUUCAAAAUGGAAGGUGCAUUCAAAAAAGCUGUAGGGUUUGUUGAAUUAGAGUGGGGGGUUACUUGGCGGAAGCAGUGCAUGUAAAAAUCAAAGAGAAGUUUCUGAAAAGCAUUCAAGAGUUGGCCUAAGCCUUCUGUCAUUGCAAUCAAUGAUACAUGACUUCCCUGGGAGCUGAGUUCUCUUUCUCAACUUUCAAAAUGAGCAAAGGGUACAGCUUAAAGAAAAGAAUGGCAAUGUUCUAAUCAGGACAGGCUCAGGAGCAGCAUUUCAGCAUUAGAGCUGGCUUUCACAACAAAAUUUAAAAUUUUGAAGUUGUUUCUAUUUCACAGAAAAACCAGGAUAUCACCGUUAGGAACAGAGGACUGGAAGGGAUAUCCUGGGUCACCAAGGCCCAUCCCCAGCUAUUGCAGGCAACAUCUCGUAAUCCCGUUCCUAAACUUAUCAAGCUCCAUCUUAAACUAAAGGGUUUGAAAUGGACCCAUUUCCAUGUUUAGUGAUAUUUCAACUAACUUUUUAAUGGAAAUUUUACCAACUUGUAUCAAAAUCCUUUUGAAACCCUUACAGAAAUGUUAUAUUUACUGAAAACCAUGUGUUUUUAUUUAUAACUAGAUAUUUGUCAAUAUUUUUGUGUUUGCCAAAAUGUCAGUUAAAAUAUUGACAGACACCUGUGGAAAGGGAAGCUGUCUAGAAUGUCAACUUUUGCAAAAACUAGAUAUUUUAAAUUACAAUUUUUUGAACACACAAAAAAGCUUUUCAUACAAAAAAUGUUAAGCAGCUUUAAUAGCUCGAGAUCCCACAUGA
Dermochelys coriacea (leatherback sea turtle) is the source of this 1998-nucleotide long non-coding RNA. RefSeq lists it as uncharacterized. Lineage: Eukaryota; Metazoa; Chordata; Testudines; Dermochelyidae. The transcript has 3 exons. The record is from RefSeq and is a predicted model, not a curated record.